Non-coding RNA from Ciona savignyi (Pacific transparent sea squirt), 82 nucleotides. The record is from Rfam. NCBI's taxonomy places the organism in Eukaryota, Metazoa, Chordata, Ascidiacea, Phlebobranchia, Cionidae.
GUCGUCGUGCCCGAGUGGUUAAGGCGACAGACUUGAAAUCUGUUGGGCUCUGCCCGCACAGGUUCGAAUCCUGUCGGCGACG